GCGUCGCGGUCAAUAUGCAGUCGAACGCUUUUUCUUUCACCGGAGCUUGCUCCACCGUAAAGAAAAAGAGUGGCGAACGGGUGACCCCCCACGAAAGGUAACCUGCCCAUCAGAAGGGGGAUAACACUUGGCCCACAGGUGCUAAUACCGUAUAACACUAUUUUCCGCAUGGAAAAAAGUUGAAAGGCGCUUUUGCGUCACUGAUGGAUGGACCCGUGGUGCAUUAGCUAGUUGGUGAGGUAACGGCUCACCAAGGCAACGAUGCAUAGCCGACCUGGGAGGGUGAUCGGGCACCCUGGGACUGAGACACAGUCCAGACUCCUACGGGAGGCAGCAGUAUGGAAUCUUCGGCAAUGGACGAAAGUCUGACCGAGCAACGCCGCGUGAGUGAAGAAGGUUUUCGGAUCUCAAAACUCUGUUGUUAGAGAAGAACAAGGAUGAGAGUAAAAUGUUCAUCCCUUGACGGUAUCUAACCAGAAAGCCACGGCUAACUACGUGCCAGCAGCCUCGGUAAUACGUAGGUGGCAAGCGUUGUCCGGAUUUAUUGGGCGUAAAGCGAGCGCACGCGGUUUCUUAAGUCUGAUGUGAAAGCCCCCGGCUCAACCGGGGAGGGUCAUUGGAAACUGGGAGACUUGAGUGCAGAAGAGGAAAGUGGAAUUCCAUGUGUAGCGGUGAAAUGCGUAGAUAUAUGGAGGAACACCAGGGGCGCAAGGCGGCUCUCUGGUCUGUAACUGACGCUGAAGCU
Molecule: ribosomal RNA, 745 nt
Filed under: Enterococcus casseliflavus
Lineage: Bacteria; Bacillati; Bacillota; Bacilli; Lactobacillales; Enterococcaceae
Description: bacterial SSU rRNA
Rfam family: Bacterial small subunit ribosomal RNA
Source: RNAcentral